AUGUCGGAUUCUAUUUACACAAAUGACUUUCUACUCGAGCCAGGCGUAGAUAUAAAACAGGAGUCCCCUUUUGAGUUGGGCUCUAUGACCGCCUCGGUGCCAAUCCCUCAACGGCGCGCCGAUCUCGGCGACUUCAAUACAGACUUGGACCUCUGCCUCCAGGACAACCUGACAGGCUCCUUCCACAAUGUACCAACUAUGCAGUACAACAAGUUCGAAAGCGACACAUCCUCCAAAAUGGACACAUUUAAAAUGGAUGAUGAUGAUAUAUUUCAAGUGGACAAAGCUGACUUAAUUCUUGGGCCAACUUUAGCAGAAUUGAAUGCAAACCCAGAUACACUUCUAGAUGAUUUAAAUUUCGAUGAUUUGCUUCUGCCAGAAGAGAGUGGGUAUUGUGUGCAAAUAGGUGGGGCUAUGAGUGGCUCCCGUGGCAUGAAUAAUGUACAGAUAAACAAUACAAUACCUGCAGAUAGCCCAUGCAGUCCCUAUGGCAGAGCCCAGCUUGCAUUCUCUCCUGCAAGUCAACACAGCUCUGCUUCUUCUAGCUUUGCCCAGCCUGUGAAUCAAUUACCAGAAUUAUUGCUACGAAUGGAUGGUUAUAGCGGUGAAAUUGCACUGGGACAAUCAGUUCCUGCAUCAACAGUUUUGCCACCAUAUCCUAUUAGUGUAAAGCCACAACACACACAACUGUCUUCAUCAGCUCCCACUCACCUCACUAUGGAACAGAUAUGGCAGCGUCGUGAGCCACGUAAACAUCUUCUAUCUACAAGUUCUCUGGCAGAGGCGGGAUCUGCAUCGUCUCUUUCUGGUGGCUUAUUGAGUCCUGGUACAGGAGAGUUCUCCCAGGAUGAGGAUGAUAGAGAUGUAGAAUCUGAUGAUGACAGUGACCGUUAUGAAGAUCUUUCUUCAGAUGAUUCCAAUGAUGAAUCAGAGACAAAGCAAGCACGGAUGAAUGCCAAAAAAGAAAGAUUUUUCUGGCAAUACAAUGUUCAAGCCAAAGGACCCAAGGGUCAGCGGUUGGUUUUGAACAAGAAAUCAGAGGAUCCACAUAUUUUAAAUUCAGUCACAGAUCCCGUAUUCAGCCCAAGUUGUAGUGUUAGGGGCAUAAAACACAGUGGCAAAGCAAGGAAAGGUGAUGGAAAUGAUUUGACUCCAAACCCAAGGAAAUUAUAUUUGAUAGGUAAAGAGUUGGACAAUUUGGGAAAAGUAAUAAAUGAUAUGAUACCUGUCAGUGAGCUGCCUUUCAAUAUAAGGCCAAAAACAAGAAAAGAGAAAAAUAAAUUGGCUUCACGUGCUUGUAGAUUAAAGAAGAAAGCACAACAUGAGGCCAAUAAAAUAAAAUUACAUGGUUUAGAACAAGAACACAAGCGACUUUUACAUGGUAUUAAACAAAUGAAACACAUUAUUAGUAACAGGAUGACUAAUUCACAAAAUGAUGUUGAUUGGAAUUCCCAUAUAAAUAAUGUCGUCAAAACAGCAACAGAGGUAAAUAUAGCUGGAAAGACAUCGGAGUUUGUUAAUAAAAUCUUGGACAAUGUCAAAUCGGGUCAAAAUAAUGGCGGCAUAAAUGAUAUUUAAGGUAAAACAAAAUAAAUUACAGAUGUGAAUAUAAAAACGAAAGGCUGUUCUAUGUACCUCCAAAGUUAUUUAGAGAAAAGAGUUUUAUGUUACGUCUUAUGAAAGCUUAAUUGUCCAAGACAAUUUUAUUUUUGUAUGGUAAUAUAGAAUUAGUCACUAGACGCUUAACUGAAGCAACCAUAAUAUUUUGUAAGGAAAUCGAUUAAAGGUUUUAACUGUAACAUAUAGAUGAUAAUACCAUAAAUAGAUUUAAGUCAUAUUCUGUUUAAAAUGUAGGCGUUCAAUAGAAUUACACUACACGAAACAAAAAUUAAAUAAUGAUGUGACAUCAAUAUAUUACCCACAUUGAAUGUGUAUACAGAUUACAGACUACCAUCGGCUUAAUCGUAUAUCGCGGGAUCGAAAUAAAUAGAUAAUAAGAUACUAUAUUUAAUGUUAUGAGUAAACCACAUAACUUCCAAAUUUAAUAUUGUAAUACAAUGUUUGAAAUUCUUUAUUACUGUAAUCGAAAUUGCCUAAUCAAUAAUGAUUAUUUUUUAGAAUACUAGGCCAGCAUUUAUUGUAGGCGAUUAUGUAAUAUUAUAUUCUCAUAAGCAAUAUAUUUAAAAGCCUCGGUAAUCGGCAGCGUGCUAAACGAAGUUUCUACAUGUUACCUUUAUAUAAAAAGCAAUUUAAUUGGGAUUUAUUAUUAAAAAUGCUUAUUAUGAUAUAAUAAAAAGUUAAUUUACCAAGUAAAUUUUUAUUUAAUGGCACUGUGAUCGUGUAAUGAAGCCAUUAUAAAAAACGAAGUAACAUACCGUCAUUGUUUGCGUAAAAUGGAUAAAAAGUUAUAUCUUUUUGAAUGUUUCUUAUAUAGCAAUUGAAACCAAUCGACAAAUUGGAAAUGUGUGAAAUAAGUUUACAAAUUAGUCAUCAAAAUCUACUAAAUUCGAAUUUUUCUUUAAAUGUUGCUAUGGAGCAUUGAUAUUUCAAUAUUUUUUUAUUACAAUUUAUUAUACUUGAAAAUAUUGAUAAAGGAAGGUGUGCCAUUUUUUUUGAAACAAAUGUUCCAAACAGUCCCGAGGCUAGGGUUAUCACUUUUAUUAGGUAUAACUAGUUUUUGCUUGCGGUUCGUUUAUUGAAUAGUGAAAACAUUAUAAAAAAAAUAUAUAAUAAAAUCUUAUUGCGAACUUGCAUUUCUAUAAUCGCGUAUAGUUUUCGCUUUAUCCGAAACCAUGGUUUUACACGCGGAGUCUUGGGCAUAUAGCAGUACUGUCUAUUUUGAAGGUUCAUAUUAUUAAUAAGCUUUAUCGCCCGUAUGCAUACAUAUUAUUAGAGUUCUGAAUUAGUGAUAUUUAUACAAAUAUAAUUGCCUAAAUAUAAUAUAUUUUAUAUAAGUCAGUUUUAUAAUAUUUCCAAAUAAUUACCGCAUUAGAUUUAUAUUUUUAAUUGCCAUUAUUAAUAUAAGAUCCAUUCAUACAGCAUGAUCUGCAUCAUAUUAGUAGUUGAGAAAUAGGAUAUACUUAUUGUAGAACUUAUGCUAUAGGCUAUAAAUGUGUUAUUUUGUAAUACCCUAGUUGUGCACCUCAUUUUAUAUUGUGGUCCGUGCACAAAAGCUAGUCACAUCCUGAGGUAUACGAGCGACAAGGGAGGCGGCUGUGUCAUUUGGACCUUGUGCAAAAAUGGUCAUACCCAAAAAGUAGUCAAAAUUCAAAUAUUUAUUGUAAACUAUCAAAAAUAACAUAUAUUAUUUGGUGAUUUUAUUCUAGUAAUGUAAUUCAGUUCUAACCCCAUGAAGGAAUAAAAAUAUGUUUCUAUUGCAUACAUAACAAAUCAUUAUCAACAUUUUGAAAGAAUUACUUUGUAUAGUUAGAUUGCCAGUUUCUAGGUAGGAUCAUUUCUGCGAACUCGGUCCAUUUAUUAGCUCUCAUGGUAUUCUGUCGUCCCGUCUUUCUGGGGUUAAUAUUACAUCUAUUACUAGAUAUGUAUAAGAGAAUGAAAUUCUGAAACAUUACUAAUAUUUAUUCUAUUAGAAAUUGUUUGAUAAUUACAUUCUAUUAUAAAAAAAAAAAUAUUUUCCUAAUUGCGAUUGGUUCAACGAACAAACAUACCAUCUGCCGCACCCUUCGCUUAGGUUGGAUUGCGCGUCUAUUUUUAAAAGUUGGUAAUUGAGCGGUGAAGUGGAAAGGAUUUAAAUAAUAUUUUAUAUAUACAUCAAUAUCCCAAAUACUUUUUAACUGGCUCCAAAGAAGGUCUAUUCGUCAUAUUUUUUCUAUUUUACUUUGUUCAGCGAUAAUUGUAACCCUGUAGGCCGAUUAUGAUUAUUUUUGUGUUCGAUUUCGCAUACGUUCGGAAUGGUCCCUUUUUAAUUUCAUUGGUAUAGGACCUAGGACUUUGAAGAUGCAGCGGGAUACUGCUCAAAAUAAUAACGACUUUCAUUAUUCUUGGGUCCAAAACAGCUUCGAGAUACUCCUUUUAUUAACAAAAAAGAAAAAAAUAUAAACCUGUUAAUAUAAAAAUAACGACUCAACAAAUCACUAUAGUACAAAAAUAAUUGAACUGUAUAUGUAUAUGGAUUUAUAAAAAAAUACUAAAACACAAGCAAUGUUAUUUAUUCUUCGAUUCGUGUUUUUAUAUUUAUAUGCACACAAUUUAUUUUUUGAGUCGGGUGUAAUUUUAUGCUAGCUAUAUGAAGUUAAAACUCGAAUAAAUAUUCAAUUCAAAUUAGGCACCUUUGCAGACAUAAAAAUACGAAUUGGGACGAAGAUAAUAACACUGGAUAAAAAAAAUAUAUGUUAUUAAUCCUCAUGUAAAGUUUUUGGAUUGUAGUGGUUUUCGGGGUCAGUUGUUUUUCGUUAAAAAGUUUUUAUAAUGGUUCCUUUUGUUUCCGAAAUUGUUAGUAAUUUAAUAUAUUUAUUAUUUUAAUAAUAAUGGUGUAUGUUAUAGGGUAAUAUACAUACCUAAUUACAUUUUUUUUUGUUAUCGUCUCUAAUGAAGUUUUUAAUGGAGUCCAGGUCAUACUAAUCUACAUGGUAUUGUAUUGAAGUUUAAUAAAUUAUAAUCAGUGCAGACUAGCUUAGCUAGAUUUUAGCAAGUGAGUAUAAAUAGAUAUAUAAGGUAUAUGUUAAGAUUUAACAAAGUUAAGUUUUUAACGUAAAGUGGGUUUGAGACAUUUAUUAAUAUUUAUAACAUGCAUAGUUUAUUGUAAAAUAUGUUUGCUUGUUAGGUUUUAAAAUUUGAUGAACAACUUGAUUUUUUUAAUAUACUUUGUGUUUUGUGUCUAGUCGUAAAUUUAUUACAAUUAAAAAUAAUUAUAAGUAUAUAUUUCCUUUUAUGAAUUUCUUGGAAAGCCUAAUACUCUGGCCGAUGUGGAAAAAUUCAAAGCAUAGCAUUAUUGGAUACUUAUAUUAAAAAGAAUGAUUAUAUUUAACAUAACAUGAAUAUUGCGUACAUUUACAACAUUUUCUGUAGUAGUAGGCAUCAGGGAGCGACCGACAUACGCCGAAUUUUUAUUAAUACAAAAGGUAAAGCUUGACGAAAUUUUAAUUUGUUUUUGGGAUAAAAUAUAACAAAUGUUAAAAAUUUGUGCAAUGGAUUGUGCUACUGAUUCUCGACAAACUAAUCUCGGGUUUGUAAUAUACUAAAAAUAAUGUAUAAAUUUCGUAAGAAUUACUCUGGGCGGUCAGCUGCAUAAUGGACAUAAAUAGGUACCCGUAUUACAUACCUAAUAUUAUUAUGAGCACUCGCAGUAGUUUUAAUCGCAGAUAGCUAUAGGCUUUCGAUUGAGCAUCUAGAUUCCAGACGACAUACUCGAAUUUUCUUUCUUAACUAUUUUCACCUGUUCAAGACUGCUAAUGGCAGCUUUGUCUAUAAUCUCUAGCGAUUUCUACUGGUCGCGGCUCCAAUACUCGAACAUUCGAAUUGUUACUCGCAUAGAUGAUUACCACACCGUUAUAUGGGAACAUAAUAGCUUCAGUUAUUAUUUGUCGCUAAUGGACAAUUAGCAAGUCAAUCUGUUUAUUUAUUUGUAUUCGGAGCAUUACAUGAGCUUGCAGAUUACAAUACUAAAACUCGUGCCUAUUUUUACUGUACUAAUUCGAUAGUGACAAUUUUUCCUCCGAAAUUUUUUGUCCGCGGAUCGUGAUAUGUGCUGCAAAUGUUUAAAAAAACAUUGCUAAUAUAAUUUGUUAUAGUUGUUUAUUAAAUUGCAUAAAAUACUUUUCUCAUUUGGCAAAUUAUAGUUGAUGAUAUUAUUGUUGCCUGUUAGUUGGGAUAUGUAUAGACAUGUACUAUCCACAUACAAUAUUGAUAGUACAUAACUAUAUAGAGUACAAAUUAAACAAGUAGGUACCCACACGGACGUUGCCAGGGGGAGUAGGGUAGGCUGUCAGCCAAUAUUUCCUUAUAGAUUAAACACAAGUACAUACUAUUGUAUGUGUUUUCUACUACUAUUGGGCCUGCCUUUAUGAAAUUUACGCUGCCCCCCUCUCUAUCAGAUUAAAAUUUAAGAGUUGCCUGCCCUGUGGGUCCCUAUGUAAAAUAGCUUGGUCCCAAAUAUUUGAUAAUAUUUAUUUAUACUGUAAAAUGAUAGUAAGUUAUUACAGUAAGGAUAUUCAUUAUGAGUCGCACAUUUGCCAUACUUUUUGUAGCUGUGUUGAAACAUCUAACGAUGUGAUUAGCUGUACCUAAUUAGGAAUUUGCUUGUAAGCUUAAUUUUUUAUACUACAUUGAUAUUGUUUUUAAUGAUCGGUCAUAUUACUGACUCAUGUGCUUAUCUCUAUUUACAAUAAUAUAUGAAAUAUUUAUGUUAUUAUUAGGUGUGGUUAGACUAUCACAGUUACUUAUAUCUUAAAAUAGUAUAAUUUUGCUAAACAUUCAAAGUUUAAAUAAUAGCAUUUACCUCUAUUUAAAAAUCAGUUAUUUUACAAAAGUAUUGUCAGUUUCAACUUAUACAUACCCAUUUAACAAACCUGACAUUUAUAUCGUUUUGCAUGAUUUGUUCUAUAAUAAUUAUGUGUUUAUAUUUUGGUAUAUAAUUUAUAAAAAAUCAUAAUAUGCUGCAAAUAUUCAUUUAACAUUAGAUUUCAUUAUUGUAGUUAUAUCCUCAUUAAUAAUAUUUUUGCCAAUCAUUUAAAUAAUAUUGAGUUAAAUAUGAUGUAAGUAUGGUAAAUUCUGCAUAUUUUUUAAAUAAUAUAAUAUGGUAGUUUACAAUGUUUAAGUCUAUAUCAAAAAUAAAAAUAAAAUUGCUUGUAUCUGAGUAUAUUUUGAACGCGCAAUUAAUUGUUCUUCGUAAUAUAGAUAUUUGUAGUUGACUUUUUGUUAUUUAAAUAAAUAUCUUAGUGUUGUAUUCUGUAUGUUAUACAUUUAUAUCAAACUUAAGUUAAUGAUACAAUUUUCUAAAGUAUGUGUCUGUUUCAAAUAUUUUAUAUGUAUAUGACGUCCAACUUUCAUAUAUACAUGUAAGAUCAAUAUCAAUGCGCUAUAGACCUAAAAUGUUUAUAGUAAACGUAGUAUUUCGACGUGAGGCCCCUUUUUAAUAAAGGUAGGUAUAAUAGGACAUUUUGGUAUCUUUAAUAGUUAUCUAGCGUAAUAACAUACAGACAGACGUAAAAUACUCAUUGUUUACCUAUAUACUUUUAUAGCUAAGUCUAAUACGUUCAAGACCCACAAUGUUACAAAAAUCAUCGGUGCAUUGUGACUUCUACGUCUAAGCAGAAAAAUAGGACACAUUGCUGCAACUGCUCUAUGUUUUGAUCAUGUUCAGUGUAAUCAAAGAUGAAACAACCAAAUAUUGCAGUAUAGAAGCAGUAAGGCCCAAUUCGAAUAACGGUUUGACAUUCUGUAGUCGGUAGUUUCAAUUGGCAGUUGCUACUAUAGUAGUAUUAUUGCCUUUAAUUAUAAUAAUAAUUGUUACACUCGCGGCUUGAUGGCAGAUAGUUUUGGCAUUUGAGUGAAAAAAGAAAUGUAUCAAAUUAUAUUGAAAGUUGGACGAGUUUCUUACAUUUGGCGAAUUAUAACAAUGUACAUUCACCAAUCGUCUGUCUUGUCCCAUUCGGGUCGUGCGAUCCCUGAUGACGGAGUUCCAUUCCAAUCGUUGUGAUUUUUUUUCACUAUGUUACAGAAAAAAAUUGGCUUGAUAUUUAAGACAUAUUUCGCUGGGAUGGUAUUAAGGUGACCACGAUAUCUCGUAAUUAUUAUGGCGUCAUUUGACUGGUUAUUUCAUCGUUUGCUAAUCGCAAGUGUUGAUUCUAGUAACGAAAGGUAGGUACGUUCUUUAUAUUGAGUGAUAACUUCUGUAUUAUACAGGUAGUUUGCUGCUGAAAAGAGAUUUUAUUAAAUCAUACUUUGUCAUUCACAAUGAUGAAAUACCUACAUAUAUGUAGGUAACAACAAUUCGUACGUUCAUAAUAUAAAAGAACGCACAUUUGAUUUGUAACUUUUAUGUUACAGAUCACCACGAUAGACCCUUAUAUAAGUAAGUAUAUGAAUAAAUAUUGUAUCAUAAAUUUAUAUGGAACUACGGGUUGUUUUUUCUCAUAAAAUCCAGCCCAAAAUCAGGUAUCUACGUACUCAGCGCCUCGCGCUAAAAUAUGAGUAGGAGGAUCUAUCAUAUUCGCACGCUUAAUAUUAUAGUAACCGAAUUAAAAAAAACAGCUUUUUGACAAAUAGCAAAGAAUGUUUUGCAUUCCAGACUUCGGCCAUUUAUGAUUUCUUAUGUUAUCGUACUUCUUAUUAAUAUUAAAAGUGCGAAAGUUGUAAGUAUGUCUUGAAGUUUGUUAGAAGUAAACUCAGAAAUAGUUGAGCGGAUUUAGAUGAAAUGUGGCACACGGGUAGACUAUGUACUGGAUUAAAUCCGUUCAACUGUUUCAGCGUUAAUUCUAACAAACAUAUAAGCUUUUUCUUAUUGGAUUGAGUUCGACAUACGGUUUACUGUAACUAACUCAUUUUGUAUUGUGUCACUGUAAUACCUUGAUAGGUAAAAUGUGUAACUGCAAUCAUGUUACCCAAAUUCAUAUUAUAUUUUCUGACCAGGCACUAUUGGAGAAUGUACGUUGUACUUAAUAUACUUAUUUUUUUUUUUUACUUUUAAAACCAAAUCCUACUGUUCUGCGAUUCAAUAGGCUGUGCAUUUUUUUGUAUAUUAUUACGAGUGUAUCCAUAUUUUAUUUUAUAAGUUUCUUACGUUAUAAUAUUUUCUUUAUGAAUUGUAAAAAAUCUAAUCAUUACAUAUUUUAUGUUACUUUGUAUUGAAGUUGAAUAAAUGUAUUACCAUGAGA
Molecule: unclassified non-coding RNA, 8834 nt
Filed under: Manduca sexta (tobacco hornworm)
Lineage: Eukaryota; Metazoa; Arthropoda; Insecta; Lepidoptera; Sphingidae
Description: uncharacterized LOC115451302, transcript variant X1
Source: RNAcentral